AGAGUUUGAUCAUGGCUCAGAAUCAACGCUGGCGGCGCGCUUAACACAUGCAAGUCGGACGAGAAAGUGGAGCAAUCCAUGAGUACAGUGGCGUACGGGUGAGUAACACGUGGGUAAUCUGCCUUUUAGUGGGGAAUAACCCUGGGAAACCGGGGCUAAUACCGCAUAAUCUCGAGAGAGGAAAGUCGCAAGACGCUGAAAGAGGAGCCCGCGGCCGAUUAGCUAGUUGGUGGGGUAAAGGCCCACCAAGGCAGAGAUCGGUAGCCGGCCUGAGAGGGCACACGGCCACACUGGCACUGAAACACGGGCCAGACUCCUACGGGAGGCAGCAGUGGGGAAUCUUGCACAAUGGGGGAAACCCUGAUGCAGCGACGCCGCGUGAGCGAUGAAGCCCUUCGGGGUGUAAAGCUCUUUCGGCAGGGAAGAUGAUGACGGUACCUGCAGAAGCAGCUGCGGCUAACUACGUGCCAGCAGCCGCGGUAAUACGUAGGCAGCGAGCGUUGUUCGGAGUUACUGGGCGUAAAGGGUGUGUAGGCGGUUCUUUAAGUUUGGUGUGAAAUCUCCCGGCUUAACCGGGAGGGUGCGCCGAAUACUGAGGGACUCGAGUGCGGGAGAGGAAAGUGGAAUUCCUGGUGUAGCGGUGAAAUGCGUAGAUAUCAGGAGGAACACCGGUGGUGUAGACGGCUUUCUGGACCGUAACUGACGCUGAGACACGAAAGCGUGGGUAGCAAACAGGAUUAGAUACCCUGGUAGUCCACGCCCUAAACGAUGCAUAUUUGGUGUGGGUCAUUCAGUUGAUCCGUGCCGGAGCUAACGCGUUAAAUAUGCCGCCUGGGGAGUACAGUCGCAAGGCUGAAACUCAAAGGAAUUGACGGGGGCCCGCACAAGCGGUGGAGCAUGUGGUUCAAUUCGACGCAACGCGAAGAACCUUACCUGGCUCGAACGGGUAGUCAACGGCGGUGGAAACAUCGCUACCCCGCAAGGGGGUCUAUUCGAGGUGCUGCAUGGCUGUCGUCAGC
This 1019-nucleotide ribosomal RNA is filed under the name uncultured bacterium. RNAcentral describes it as "bacterial SSU rRNA". It matches the Rfam family "Bacterial small subunit ribosomal RNA", at positions 8 to 1059 of the family's 1533-position model. The record is from RNAcentral.